GACGAACGCUGGCGGCGUGCUUAACACAUGCAAGUCGAACGAUGAAGCCGGAGCUUGCUCUGGUGAAUUAGUGGCGAACGGGUGAGUAACACGUGAGUAACCUGCCCUUGACUCUGGGAUAACUGCGGGAAACUGUAGCUAAUACCGGAUACGACCCUCGGAGGCAUCUCCUGGGGGUGGAAAGAAUUUCGGUCAAGGAUGGACUCGCGGCCUAUCAGCUAGUUGGUGAGGUAAAGGCUCACCAAGGCGACGACGGGUAGCCGGCCUGAGAGGGUAACCGGCCACACUGGGACUGAGACACGGCCCAGACUCCUACGGGAGGCAGCAGUGGGGAAUAUUGCACAAUGGGCGCAAGCCUGAUGCAGCGACGCCGCGUGAGGGAUGACGGCCUUCGGGUUGUGAACCUCUUUUAGUAGGGAAGAAGCGAAAGUGACGGUACCUGCAGAAAAAGCACCGGCUAACUACGUGCCAGCCGCCGCCGUAA
RNAcentral lists this ribosomal RNA (484 nucleotides) under uncultured bacterium. RNAcentral's name for it is "partial 16S ribosomal RNA". It matches the Rfam family "Bacterial small subunit ribosomal RNA", at positions 28 to 523 of the family's 1533-position model. The record is from RNAcentral.